GACGAACGCUGGCGGCGUGCUUAACACAUGCAAGUCGAACGGAAAGGCCCUGCUCUUGUGGGGUGCUCGAGUGGCGAACGGGUGAGUAACACGUGAGUAACCUGCCCUUGACUUUGGGAUAACUUCAGGAAACUGGGGCUAUUACCGGAUAGGAGCUCCUGCUGCAUGGUGGGGGUUGGAAAGUUUCGGCGGUUGGGGAUGGACUCGCGGCUUAUCAGCUUGUUUGUGGGGUAGUGGCUUACCAAGGCUUUGACGGGUAGCCGGCCUGAGAGGGUGACCGGCCACAUUGGGACUGAGAUACGGCCCAGACUCCUACGGGAGGCAGCAGUGGGGAAUAUUGCACAAUGGGCGGAAGCCUGAUGCAGCAACGCCGCGUGCGGGAUGACGGCCUUCGGGUUGUAAACCGCUUUCGCCUGUGACGAAGCGUGAGUGACGGUAAUGGGUAAAGAAGCACCGGCUAACUACGUG
This 468-nucleotide ribosomal RNA is filed under the name uncultured bacterium. Its description in RNAcentral is "partial 16S ribosomal RNA". It matches the Rfam family "Bacterial small subunit ribosomal RNA", at positions 28 to 507 of the family's 1533-position model. The record is from RNAcentral.